CACAGAGGGUGCGAGCGUUAAUCGGAAUUACUGGGCGUAAAGCGUGCGUAGACGGUUAUUUAAGUCGGAUGUGAAAGCCCCGGGCUCAACCUGGGAAUUGCAUUCGAGACUGAAUAGCUAGGGUACGGUAGAGGGAAGUGGAAUUUCCGGUGUAGCGGUGAAAUGCGUAGAUAUCAGGAGGAACACCGAUGGCGAAGGCAGAUCUCUGGGCCGUAACUGACGCUGAGGAGCGAAAGCAUGGGGAGCGAACAGG
This 253-nucleotide ribosomal RNA is filed under the name uncultured bacterium. RNAcentral's name for it is "partial 16S ribosomal RNA". It matches the Rfam family "Bacterial small subunit ribosomal RNA", at positions 524 to 776 of the family's 1533-position model. The record is from RNAcentral.